Gossypium arboreum is the source of this 105-nucleotide ribosomal RNA. It matches the Rfam family "Bacterial small subunit ribosomal RNA", at positions 1390 to 1495 of the family's 1533-position model. The record is from Rfam. NCBI's taxonomy places the organism in Eukaryota, Viridiplantae, Streptophyta, Magnoliopsida, Malvales, Malvaceae.
CAGCCCGUCACACUAUGGCAGUUGGUCAUGCCCGAAAUCGUUACCUUAACCACAAGAAGGGGAUGUCGAAAGCAGGGCUAGCGACUGGAGUGAAGUCAUAACAAG